Molecule: ribosomal RNA, 497 nt
Filed under: uncultured bacterium
Lineage: Bacteria
Description: partial 16S ribosomal RNA
Rfam family: Bacterial small subunit ribosomal RNA
Source: RNAcentral
GAUGGACGCUGGCGGCGUGCCUAAUACAUGCAAGUCGAGCGGACAGACGAGGAGCUUGCUCCUCUGACGUUAGCGGCGGACGGGUGAGUAACACGUGGAUAACCUACCUAUAAGACUGGGAUAACUUCGGGAAACCGGAGCUAAUACCGGAUAAUAUAUUGAACCGCAUGGUUCAAUAGUGAAAGACGGUUUUGCUGUCACUUAUAGAUGGAUCCGCGCCGCAUUAGCUAGUUGGUAAGGUAACGGCUUACCAAGGCAACGAUGCGUAGCCGACCUGAGAGGGUGAUCGGCCACACUGGAACUGAGACACGGUCCAGACUCCUACGGGAGGCAGCAGUAGGGAAUCUUCCGCAAUGGGCGAAAGCUUGACGGAGCAACGCCGCGUGAGUGAUGAAGGUCUUCGGAUCGUAAAACUCUGUUAUUAGGGAAGAACAAAUGUGUAAGUAACUAUGCACGUCUUGACGGUACCUAAUCAGAAAGCCACGGCUAACUACGUG